RNAcentral lists this long non-coding RNA (1852 nucleotides) under Homo sapiens (human). RNAcentral describes it as "HSALNT0027735". The record is from RNAcentral. Lineage: Eukaryota; Metazoa; Chordata; Mammalia; Primates; Hominidae.
GGAGGAUUGGAAACAGUUUGUUUUCUCUUCCCUCGUUCCUCUCAGUGGAUUCAGUGGAUAAAGAGCAGGCACACAUUACAAUAAACAUUUUUAUGGUCCCCAACAUUAGGCAUAUAAAUCCUACCUGUCUUCACACACUUACACACUAAAACUCCCACAGAAAGGGGGAAAAUUAGAAAAGGGGUGAUAUAAUUUGACUCUGUGUCACCACCCAAAUCUCAUCUUGAAUUGUAAUCCCCGUAAUUUCUCACCUGGCAAGAGUGGGACCAGGUGGAGACAAUUGGAUCAUGGGGGCAGUUUUCCCCAUGCUCUUCUCGUGAUAAUGAUUGAGUCUCAUGGGAUCUGAUGAUUCUAUAAGUGUCUGGCUUUUCUCCUACUUGCACUCACUCCAUCCUGCCACCCUGCGAGGAAGGUGCCUGCUUCUUCUUUGCCUUCCGCCGUGAGUGUGAGUCUCCUGAGGCCUCCCCAGCAAUGUGGAACUGGAUACGUCAUGGAACAGAGGGCAACCUGCCUCCUGGAAAUGUGGAGUGUCUAGGGAGUCACAGCUGAGAUCUUCCUUGGAUUAAAGGCUGCGGGUGUCACAAACAGAUUCAACUGGGUGAAAUAACUGUGAACUGGGCAUGUGAAGAGAAAGCUGAAAGCCAUGAUCUCAAGAUGGAAACUUCAGUAUCCAGCAAAGAAAUGGUGAAGGCGUUCGUUAUGUGGGAUAUGCUGUUACCACUGAACUUGAAGUUAUCAAAGAAGUUCUAUUCUUAACCCUUAAUCUGCUCAGGAUGCUGUAACAACACCAUAAACUUUCAAACAACUCUAUUUCCUACGGUUCUGGAGGCUGGAAGUCCACAAUCAAAGUGUCAUGUUGUCAGGUUGUGGUGAGGGCCCUCUUUUGGGUGUAGAUUGCUAACUUUUCUGUAUGUGUUCACAUGGCAGAAAGAGAUUGAGCUAGCUCUUGGAUCCUUUCUUAUAAGGGCACCAAUCCCAAUACAGAGGCUUCACUCUCAUGACAUAAUUGUCUCCCAAAGACUCUACCUCCAAAUAUUAUCAAUCACAUUAGGGGAUAGAUUUUAACACAUGAUUUUGGGGGGAACACAUUCAGUCCAUAACAUUUCUUGAGUCUUCUUCUAGGACCCAUAGGUUAUUUUAAAAGUGGCUUGUUCAGUUCCAAGUGUUUGAAGAUUUUUUUUUUCUGUUAUCUUUAACUUACUGAUUUCUAGAUAGACCCCAUUGUGCUCAGAGAACACUCCUUAUGUGAUUUCAAUUAUUUUAAAUUUGUUGAGAUUUUAUGACUUAGUAUGUCAUCUGUCUUGGUGUGUAUUCUGUGGGGGGGAUGGGGGGUGCUUGAAAAACGGGUAUUCUGCUAUUAUAGAAUGUCAAAAUAUCAACUGUAAUAAACAAGAAAAAUAAUCCUAGUCUUUUAUUUAAGGGCCCUCUUUAGUCCAUCUCAACAGACCCUUCUCCGAAGGGGAAAGAAAUGCAGCUCACAAGAGCCCAUUAAACAACUAAAACAAGACAAAAUAAAACAACUACCCCCUGCCAAUUUGCACACUGUUACUUCUUUUGUUUUCCCAAUCUUAUUUCUUCUUCUUUUUUAUAAUAAAAAAUUUCAAAGCAAUUAUCUGCUUUCUUACUUCCCCUUGACUUUGCCUAUGUUUAGUUUUACUUUCUAUGAUUGGCCAUCAACAAUUAGGCACAAACCAUUCUGAACUUCCUCUUCACACUUACUCAAGUGGGAAAGCUGCUGUUUACAAAGUUGCAAACUAGAAAGUGCUAAAUUGAUGUUGUACAUUUGCAAGCAUUCACGUUGAAAAAAAGAUGCAAAAGAAGACAGGUGAGACAUCUUGGGAAGUGAUGUGAG